RNAcentral lists this ribosomal RNA (253 nucleotides) under uncultured bacterium. RNAcentral's name for it is "partial 16S ribosomal RNA". It matches the Rfam family "Bacterial small subunit ribosomal RNA", at positions 524 to 776 of the family's 1533-position model. The record is from RNAcentral.
CACGUAGGGCGCAAGCGUUGUCCGGAAUUAUUGGGCGUAAAGAGCUCGUAGGCGGUUUGUCGCGUCUGCUGUGAAAACUGGAGGCUCAACCUCCAGCCUGCAGUGGGUACGGGCAGACUAGAGUGCGGUAGGGGAGAUUGGAAUUCCUGGUGUAGCGGUGGAAUGCGCAGAUAUCAGGAGGAACACCGAUGGCGAAGGCAGAUCUCUGGGCCGUAACUGACGCUGAGGAGCGAAAGCAUGGGGAGCGAACAGG